GAGUUUGAUCCUGGCUCAGGAUGAACGCUGGCGGCGUGCCUAACACAUGCAAGUCGAGCGAAGCGCUUUACUUGAAUUCUUCGGAAGGAAAGUAUUGUGACUGAGCGGCGGACGGGUGAGUAACGCGUGGGUAACCUGCCUCAUACAGGGGGAUAACAGUUAGAAAUGACUGCUAAUACCGCAUAAGACCACAGCACCGCAUGGUGCGGGGGUAAAAACUCCGGUGGUAUGAGAUGGACCCGCGUCUGAUUAGCUAGUUGGUAAGGUAAGGGCUUACCAAGGCGACGAUCAGUAGCCGACCUGAGAGGGUGACCGGCCACAUUGGGACUGAGACACGGCCCAAACUCCUACGGGAGGCAGCAGUGGGGAAUAUUGCACAAUGGGGGAAACCCUGAUGCAGCGACGCCGCGUGAGUGAUGAAGUAUUUCGGUAUGUAAAGCUCUAUCAGCAGGGAAGAAAAUGACGGUACCUGACUAAGAAGCACCGGCUAAAUACGUGCCAGCAGCCGCG
Molecule: ribosomal RNA, 510 nt
Filed under: uncultured bacterium
Lineage: Bacteria
Description: bacterial SSU rRNA
Rfam family: Bacterial small subunit ribosomal RNA
Source: RNAcentral